Molecule: ribosomal RNA, 440 nt
Filed under: uncultured bacterium
Lineage: Bacteria
Description: partial 16S ribosomal RNA
Rfam family: Bacterial small subunit ribosomal RNA
Source: RNAcentral
CCUACGGGAGGCAGCAGUAGGGAAUAUUGCUCAAUGGGGGAAACCCUGAAGCAGCAACGCCGCGUGGAGGAUGAAGGUUUUCGGAUUGUAAACUCCUUUUGUUAGAGAAGAUAAUGACGUUAUCUAACGAAUAAGCACCGGCUACCUCCGUGCCAGCCGCCGCGGUAAUACGGAGGGUGCAAGCGUUACUCGGAAUCACUGGGCGUAAAGCGCGCGUAGGCGGGAUAGCAAGUCAGAUGUGAAAUCCUAUGGCUUAACCAUAGAACUGCAUUUGAAACUGUUAUUCUAGAGUAUGGGAGAGGUAGGUGGAAUUCUUGGUGUAGGGGUAAAAUCCGUAGAGAUCAAGAGGAAUACUCAUUGCGAAGGCGACCUGCUAGAACAUAACUGACGCUGAUGCGCGAAAGCGUGGGGAGCAAACAGGAUUAGAUACCCGGGGAGUC